RNAcentral lists this ribosomal RNA (523 nucleotides) under uncultured bacterium. RNAcentral describes it as "bacterial SSU rRNA". It matches the Rfam family "Bacterial small subunit ribosomal RNA", at positions 791 to 1314 of the family's 1533-position model. The record is from RNAcentral.
UAGUCCACGCCGUAAACGAUGGGUACUAGGUGUUGCGGGAAUUGACCCCUGCAGUGCCGACGCUAACGCAAUAAGUACCCCGCCUGGGAAGUACGGUCGCAAGAUUAAAACUCAAAGGAAUUGACGGGGGCCCGCACAAGCGGUGGAGCAUGUGGUUUAAUUCGAUGCAACGCGAAAAACCUUACCUGGGUUUGAAAGCCUCGGACAACCCUAGAGAUAGGGCUUUCCCUUCGGGGACUGAGUGCUAGGUGCUGCAUGGCUGUCGUCAGCUCGUAUCGUGAGAUGUCGGGUUAAGUCCCUUAACGAGCGCAACCCUUAUCCUUCGUUGCCAGCAUUUAGUUGGGCACUCAAAGGAGACUGCCCGUGUUAAACCGGAGGAAGGUGGGGAUGACGUCAAGUCCUCGUGGCCUUUAUGCCUAGGGCUGCACACGUCCUACAAUGCAACGUACAAAGCGACGCGAAAUCGCGAGAUCAAGCAAACCGCAUAAAACGUUGCCCAGUUCGGAUUGCAGGCUGAAAUUCG